CUUUUUCUCCAUGGAUUCAGUACGAGAGAACAAUACAGUCCACAGCGAAACAUUAAGGAAGUCCUGGCCAGUCAUGAAGCCAACAUAGAGGAAUAGCUACAGAAGGGAAAGAUGUCUUGCCUGCUGAUUGUACUGUUUUAUUGAAAGACGGAGGCGACGGAUUGGUUGCAUCUGCCGCUGCCUUUUGAGAGGCAUCCCAGACCCUCACUUGGUGCUGACACAUAACUCCCAAAACAGUGGAUCUUCAGAGACUUAAAGACAGUGUAAUCCCCUGGUGUUUGGUCUGACAGCACAAUAAGUGUUGCAGACCAAUUGUGGACAAAACGGUGCUGGUCAGUUGGGUAGGUAGGCUCCGAGGACUGUGUUAUGAGUUAUUAUUUUGGUAGUGUUAAGUCUCCCAACAUAAUCACCAUUUUGUAUAAGAAAACUUUGUUGAGUUGUCUUUUUGUUGUUACUAUAGGCAGUCCUUGAGUUACACACACCUGCACUUAAGAAUGGGGUCCCAAUACGGUACUGUACGUAGUAUACCACAGAAAUAUCUAAUUAAAGUAUUUUUUCACAUUAAUUAUUGUUUAGCAUGACUUUAUUUACAGUACAACUACUGUAGUAUUUAUAUUAUUUUUGUAUGGGAUAAGACUUUUAUGGUCAGGGUUGUAACUAAAAUCCCAUUUCUUACAUAAUAUUGUUUAACAACUUUAUUUACAGAAUUUAUAUUUGUUGUGUGUGGGAUAUGUUGUUUUGUAUGGUCGUUAACCUAUAGAAUCAACAUUGUUCUGGCUUUUGAACAAGGUCCUAGCUCGGGGAAUGCCAUGUUUAUAGUCUGUUAUGAGUGUCCAGCCCACGGUGCCAGAAGAACAUGUCCCCUCAAGAUAAGUCAUAUUUAUUAUUUUCUUAAUUUUAAGUCCCUCAUAAUAAAUUGUCACUGUAUAUAUGACUUGUUAUGUCUUACUGCAAUUCAAGAGGAGGCAACUAAUCAUCCCAUGUUAUUUGCAUUAACUUACCGUAUAGUGCGGCCCAUAAGUCGGCCCGGCGUAUAAGACGACCUUAAUUAUUUCAACAUAAAUUGUUAAUGUGGGCCCAUACCUGGCAGAUAAGUCGAUCUAUAAACUGCAAUUUGAAAACUAUGUCCUCAGUGUUUGCUAAACAUACUUUUUAACAGCACUCAAACAAGUUUUACCUAAAUGUAACAUUUUCAAAAUGUUAAAAUACCUUUUAGUGUUAGUUUUCUUACAAACAAAUGUUACCAGGGCACAUGAAUGGUGUAAACAAAUCACAAUAAUACAGUUCGUACAAGAUUAAAAAUAUAUAAGAUACUCUGUACACUCGGUGAGUAAUGACAAUAAGAUUAAUACAGUACUGCAUCCCCAGAUAACUCACAAAUUUUUAUUUUGCUGCAUUCGAUUGUUUGCGGAUGACACCCUGGAUGUACCCAAAAAUGUCUGCGGGUAGUUUUAAAAUUGCCGACAUUUUUGCUGCUGGUGCUGGGAGCACGCGAGUUUUGUGGCGUCCCGUAAGGUCUCUCUCGUGAUCUAAAUAUGAUAAAUAAUAACUAGGUGGGGGGAAGGUUAUACUACAGGGCAUUUCAACAUAGUGACUGCAAAAAAGGUAAGAUUGACUGAGAGUGAACACACUGGUUGAUUACAACACAGGGAAAAGAAAUAAUUGUCUUUAGGUGAAACACAUAAAGGGAAUAUACAUUUCUCUACACACAGGUAAAAAUGUAACCCUGCACCGCCCCCGUCGGUAAAUGUUAUUCGUGCCAUUUUGAGAACCUAACCCCACGAAUUUUAAGGGCCUGCUUUACAGUACAUAUAAUGUACUAUAAACAGUCCUAUACAUGUAGAUAAUAAUUGUGGUA
Long non-coding RNA from Homarus americanus (American lobster), 1858 nucleotides. RefSeq lists it as uncharacterized. Lineage: Eukaryota; Metazoa; Arthropoda; Malacostraca; Decapoda; Nephropidae. The transcript is spliced from 3 exons. The record is from RefSeq and is a predicted model, not a curated record.